AUGUCUACUUGGAGGUUGUGCCCUUGAGGCGUGGCUUCCGGAGCUAACGCGUUAAGUAGACCGCCUGGGGAGUACGGCCGCAAGGUUAAAACUCAAAUGAAUUGACGGGGGCCCGCACAAGCGGUGGAGCAUGUGGUUUAAUUCGAUGCAACGCGAAGAACCUUACCUGGUCUUGACAUCCACAGAAGAAUCCAGAGAUGGAUUUGUGCCUUCGGGAACUGUGAGACAGGUGCUGCAUGGCUGUCGUCAGCUCGUGUUGUGAAAUGUUGGGUUAAGUCCCGCAACGAGCGCAACCCUUAUCCUUUGUUGCCAGCGGUUAGGCCGGGAACUCAAAGGAGACUGCCAGUGAUAAACUGGAGGAAGGUGGGGAUGACGUCAAGUCAUCAUGGCCCUUACGACCAGGGCUACACACGUGCUACAAUGGCGCAUACAAAGAGAAGCGACCUCGCGAGAGCAAGCGGACCUCAUAAAGUGCGUCGUAGUCCGGAUUGGAGUCUGCAACUCGACUCCAUGAAGUCGGAAUCGCUAGUAAUCGUGGAUCAGAAUGCCACGGUGAAUACGUUCCCGGGCCUUGUACACACCGCCCGUCACACCAUGGGAGUGGGUUGCAAAAGAAGUAGGUAGCUUAACCUUCGGGAGGGCGCUUACCACUUUGUGAUUCAUGACUGGGGUGAAGUCGUAACAAGGUAACCGUAGGGGAACCUGCGGUUGGAUCACCUCCUUA
Molecule: ribosomal RNA, 724 nt
Filed under: Salmonella enterica subsp. enterica serovar Enteritidis
Lineage: Bacteria; Pseudomonadati; Pseudomonadota; Gammaproteobacteria; Enterobacterales; Enterobacteriaceae
Description: bacterial SSU rRNA
Rfam family: Bacterial small subunit ribosomal RNA
Source: RNAcentral